This 489-nucleotide ribosomal RNA is filed under the name uncultured bacterium. RNAcentral describes it as "partial 16S ribosomal RNA". It matches the Rfam family "Bacterial small subunit ribosomal RNA", at positions 28 to 506 of the family's 1533-position model. The record is from RNAcentral.
GAUGAACGCUAGCUACAGGCUUAACACAUGCAAGUCGAGGGGAAACGAUGAGAGAGCUUGCUCUCUUAGGCGUCGACCGGCGCACGGGUGAGUAACGCGUAUCCAACCUACCCAUUACAGGGGGAUAACCUUGCGAAAGUAAGACUAAUACCCCAUGGCAUUUUAUGGUGGCAUCAUUAUAGGAUUAAAGAUUUAUUGGUAAUGGAUGGGGAUGCGUCUGAUUAGCUUGUUGGCGGGGUAACGGCCCACCAAGGCAACGAUCAGUAGGGGUUCUGAGAGGAAGGUCCCCCACAUUGGAACUGAGACACGGUCCAAACUCCUACGGGAGGCAGCAGUGAGGAAUAUUGGUCAAUGGGCGAGAGCUUGAACCAGCCAAGUAGCGUGCAGGAUGACGGCCCUAUGGGUUGUAAACUGCUUUUAUAGGGGAAUAAAGUGAGCUACGUGUAGUUUAUUGCAUGUACCCUAUGAAUAAGGACCGGCUAAUUCCGU